Molecule: ribosomal RNA, 496 nt
Filed under: uncultured bacterium
Lineage: Bacteria
Description: partial 16S ribosomal RNA
Rfam family: Bacterial small subunit ribosomal RNA
Source: RNAcentral
AUGAACGCUGGCGGCGUGCCUAAUACAUGCAAGUCGAGCGAACAGAUGAGGAGCUUGCUCCUCUGACGUUAGCGGCGGACGGGUGAGUAACACGUGGAUAACCUACCUAUAAGACUGGGAUAACUUCGGGAAACCGGAGCUAAUACCGGAUAAUAUAUUGAACCGCAUGGUUCAAUAGUGAAAGACGGUUUUGCUGUCACUUAUAGAUGGAUCCGCGCCGCAUUAGCUAGUUGGUAAGGUAACGGCUUACCAAGGCAACGAUGCGUAGCCGACCUGAGAGGGUGAUCGGCCACACUGGAACGGAGACACGGUCCAGACUCCUACGGGAGGCAGCAGUAGGGAAUCUUCCGCAAUGGGCGAAAGCCUGACGGAGCAACGCCGCGUGAGUGAUGAAGGUCUUCGGAUCGUAAAACUCUGUUAUUAGGGAAGAACAAAUGUGUAAGUAACUAUGCACGUCUUGACGGUACCUAAUCAGAAAGCCACGGCUAACUACGUG